Molecule: ribosomal RNA, 291 nt
Filed under: Gittenedouardia meridionalis
Lineage: Eukaryota; Metazoa; Mollusca; Gastropoda; Stylommatophora; Cerastidae
Description: partial large subunit ribosomal RNA
Source: RNAcentral
UGGCCGCAGUACCCUGACUGUGCUAAGGUAGCAUAAUAGUUUGGCCUUUAAUUGGGGUCUGGAAUGAAUGAACCCAUGAAGGGGGACUGUCUCUUACUUAGUAGGUGAAAAUACCUACUCAAAAACAUUAGACGAGAAGACCCUUAGAAUUAUGUUUUUGUUGGGGCAACAUGGUCAGAAAUAACUGACCUUAAAAUAUUCUCAGUAAGAAUUUAAUUACCUGAGGGAUAACAGCAUAAUUUCAAUUUAAGAUUGUGACCUCGAUGUUGGACUAGGUAGUUUACCUGUUAG